CUAAAGAAAUUAUGUGCAUAUUUAGCUGUAACGAUGGAUAAUUUGCAAAAAAUAAGCGACGCAGGACUGAUGAAGGUGAAGAUAUUCGCUGCUGAUGUCACCCGUGUGCGUCAAGUCCAAGUUGGCGGAAAUCCUCUGAGAGUUCCACCCAACUGAACUCUACUGAUCCAAACCAAGCCAGGCCUGCAAAUCAUAUCUCCCCCAACACCUCAAGUGGAUGACUAAAACACUAGAAACA
Molecule: long non-coding RNA, 238 nt
Organism: Anguilla anguilla (European eel)
Lineage: Eukaryota; Metazoa; Chordata; Actinopteri; Anguilliformes; Anguillidae
Exons: 3
Source: RefSeq, a predicted model, not a curated record